Bubalus bubalis (water buffalo) is the source of this 596-nucleotide long non-coding RNA. RefSeq lists it as uncharacterized. The record is from RefSeq and is a predicted model, not a curated record. The transcript is spliced from 3 exons. Lineage: Eukaryota; Metazoa; Chordata; Mammalia; Artiodactyla; Bovidae.
AGCGGCCCGGCAGCCGCGCAGGCGCUAUGCAGGCAGACGUUGUACAGGCGCAGAGCGUGUGGAAUGGUCGCACGCGUGCCUCUCGCGCAGGCGCGGUGGGUAGAGAAGGAGGUUCGGGCAUCCAUUGUCGGGGUUGAGCUCAGUCUGGAUCAUUCGCCCUACAUCUCCGCCAAACGUCUGUCAGUCCAUCUGCCAACCUGACUGUCCAUCCAGGUCACUGUCCGGUAACCACGGGCCUAUGCUCAUCGGUGCGCGCCGGCUGAAGUCAGGGGCGAGGGUUUCGCAGAAAUACUAGCAAACCAGCUGCCGACCCACGACUCACGGUGGUUCCAGCGUCCGCAGGUGACUCCCGCGAGGCCCUUGCUUCCUCUCCGUCUCCACCCACCAUCUAGAUACCCGUCCCGGAGCCACACCCGGACCUCGCCAGUCACUGGAGGCCUCUAGAGCUGCGGAGCGACUCUGCAUUUUCCCGGUCACGCCGCGUGCCUACUCACCUGGAUGGCUGUUCACACCCCAACCCCCUCAGAACUCCCAACAGAAUCUUCCUGUCUCCCUACCUUCCGACCCUUCUUGUUUAAUAAAAAUUAGCAAAUAAA